Molecule: ribosomal RNA, 494 nt
Filed under: uncultured Glomeromycotina
Lineage: Eukaryota; Fungi; Glomeromycota
Description: SSU rRNA
Rfam family: Eukaryotic small subunit ribosomal RNA
Source: RNAcentral
CCAAUAGCGUAUAUUAAAGAUGUUGCAGUUAAAAAGCUCGUAGUUGAAUUUCGGGAUUGACACAUCGGUCGUGUCUUAAGGGGUGUGAACUGGUGUAGUCAAUUUCUCACCUUCUGGAGAACCGCGAUGUCCUUAAUUGGGUGCCGUGAGGAACCAGGACCUUUACUUUGAAAAAAUUAGAGUGUUUAAAGCAGGCAUUUUUGCUUGAAUACAAUUAGCAUGGAAUAAUAAAAUAGGACGGCAUGAUUCUAUUUUGUUGGUUUCUAGGAUCACUGUAAUGAUUAAUAGAGAUAGUUGGGGGCAUUAGUAUUCAAUUGUCAGAGGUGAAAUUCUUGGAUUUAUUGAAGACUAACUACUGCGAAAGCAUUUGCCAAGGAUGUUUUCAUUAAUCAAGAACGAAAGUUAGGGGAUCGAAGACGAUCAGAUACCGUCGUAGUCUUAACCAUAAACUAUGCCAACUAGGAAUCAGACGAUGUUAAUUUUUUAAUGACUCG